UGGGGAAUAUUGCACAAUGGGCGCAAGCCUGAUGCAGCCAUGCCGCGUGUAUGAAGAAGGCCUUCGGGUUGUAAAGUACUUUCAGUCGGGAGGAAGGUGGUAAGGUUAAUAACCUUGGCGAUUGACGUUACCCGCAGAAGAAGCACCGGCUAACUCCGUGCCAGCAGCCGCGGUAAUACGGAGGGUGCAAGCGUUAAUCGGAAUUACUGGGCGUAAAGCGCACGCAGGCGGUCUGUCAAGUCGGAUGUGAAAUCCCCGGGCUCAACCUGGGAACUGCAUUCGAAACUGGCAGGCUAGAGUCUUGUAGAGGGGGGUAGAAUUCCAGGUGUAGCGGUGAAAUGCGUAGGGAUCUGGAGGAAUACCGGUGGCGGAGGCGGCCCCCUGGACAAAGACUGACGCUCAGGUGCGAAAGCGUGGGGAGCAAAAAGG
RNAcentral lists this ribosomal RNA (429 nucleotides) under Chloroflexota bacterium. RNAcentral describes it as "Chloroflexi bacterium partial 16S ribosomal RNA". It matches the Rfam family "Bacterial small subunit ribosomal RNA", at positions 355 to 776 of the family's 1533-position model. Lineage: Bacteria; Bacillati; Chloroflexota. The record is from RNAcentral.